CGGAGGCCAGAGGCGUCGUCACACAUUCGUCGAGCCCCAUUCGGCCGUCGCGAUCGUUCCAGAUCUCGGUCGAGGAGAACAUAGACGACGAACAGCCAGUAUAGCGAGGGCGCCAUCCAUUUGCCGUUUCAAGAAGUUUUUAAGAAGCCUGUUGGAAGCAACGCGACGGAACGCGACUACAUUAUAUCCAUCCGGAGACAGCAUAAUUGCAAUCGAACUUCACUGACUUUUGCUGCAAAUGCAAAUUCGAGCAAUUAAGAGCGCCAAGAAAAAUCGCCUGAUCUAAAAAAUCGCCAAACGAAUCAACAUCGUUUCCUCCGACGCUUUUCCCGAAGAAGACCUUUGUCCGAGUCGUAUC
Molecule: long non-coding RNA, 358 nt
Organism: Odontomachus brunneus
Lineage: Eukaryota; Metazoa; Arthropoda; Insecta; Hymenoptera; Formicidae
Exons: 3
Source: RefSeq, a predicted model, not a curated record